CGAAUAGAACCGGAUGCGUUGCAUUGAGCCGAGAGAGACAAACAAAGUCAAGGUGAGUUUACGGUUUUAUUUAUUUAAUGUGUACAGUAUAUUUAUGGUUAAAAAAACAUACUUCGUAUUUUAAAGUGCAUUCCAUUUGAACGGGGAGGCGGGAAUUUCCCACUUUGCUAGGGACGUCACCCACUCAGGGUAACGUAUUUGGUGGAAGCUUAAGUGAGUGAGCGUGCUAUUGCUCUUUCGUAUUUUGGGUUGUCCAUGGGUUAUAGUUAGUGUCUAUACUUGAGGCUACGUAGCUAUUGUAAGUUUGUUUGUGUUUUUCCCCCCGCAUCGUCAUAGAUAUAUACAUGUGGAUGUCCGCUCUGACGCUGUUGUCCGGAACAAUGCGUUGAAGCGGCCGCCAUCUUGGGCCGGGGGCUGUGCAGGCCAGUGUAAAGACAAAGAACGUGUAAGCUCAGCUGAAUUGCCUAGUGCACCAAAGAUGCUUCAUGUGUUUGGCCCAGAUCCCAGAGGGAAUGAUUCUGAGGAUGAAGCUGUCUUACCAACAAGAAAACAAGUGCACCAUACUGGAGCUGGACCAGAGAGGCCAAGCGUCCCGUAGCCUGCACCAGGGAAGGAUUUCAUCGACUGACCUGCACCAGAGAAAGACUGUUUCCUCUGAGCCACAUCAGUUGAUAAGAAGACCACAAACCAGUCUUCAUAUAUCACACCUAGGCCUACCACAUCCAAGGGUUGAAAUCUGUAACUGAAGAAGAGGUGUUGAACCAAAUCUGCUACCAUUAGCUGAUCGCCAGUCUGUCCAAAACAUGGAGGAGCGGCUCAGGAAUAGUGCUGACCUCAAAAACCAUCUGAGAACUGCACUGGCUCUUAAAGGACGUUAAAGAGUGUAAAGAGUGUCAUGGGUGCAACCUUAACACUCUCGCCAAGAAUGUCAACAUGCUCGGUAUAAAUGGCAAGAUUGGCUUCCAGCACCUGCAAAUAAAGGAUGUUGUAAUUGAAGUCCACGGUGGGAAUGAUGGACUUACGGACAGCGCUGCUUCAUUUGGACUUCUGUGCCCUUUGUUAAUUUUUUACAAAGACUUUAGCCUCCCUGAUUUUAUUUGUUUUCCUUUUGUUAUCCUUAAGCUCACAUUCUUUUAAUGUAUUUCAAUUAUUGAUCUUAUAAUUUUAUUGGGUUGAAAGCAUAAUUUUUUUUUCCAUCCCCACUUAAUGUUGUUUCCCUCUGUUGUUCGCUCUCCAACAGUGUCACAUAUUAGUUGAUUUUUAUAUUAUUAUUUUUUAUAUAUUGUUAUUUUAAACAAGUUAUUCAAAUCAAAAUAAAUGUUAUUUGUAUAAUUGUAUCACCGUUGUUGUAGUAUUUUUAAUCUAGGCUGAAUAUUGCACAGUUUGAUUAAGGUAUUCAUUAGGCUGACACCUGGUGCCAGUGUGGAAACUGUUCUGGGCCAGUACAGGGCCACCAUUAGGCUGACAUCCGAUGCCAGUGUGGAAACUGUUCUGGGCCAGUACAGGGCCACCAUU
Molecule: long non-coding RNA, 1515 nt
Organism: Melanotaenia boesemani (Boeseman's rainbowfish)
Lineage: Eukaryota; Metazoa; Chordata; Actinopteri; Atheriniformes; Melanotaeniidae
Exons: 7
Source: RefSeq, a predicted model, not a curated record